RNAcentral lists this long non-coding RNA (312 nucleotides) under Mytilus galloprovincialis (Mediterranean mussel). The record is from RNAcentral. Lineage: Eukaryota; Metazoa; Mollusca; Bivalvia; Mytilida; Mytilidae.
UCAAACAUUAAUUUUCAUGCUCAGUAGGAGCAGUCUUAACAAGAUAGUUAAAAACCCAAUGUAAGCGAUUUUAUCAUGCAUAAUCCAGUAAGCCUGACCGUAGCCAUAUAUCCCACACUUUAUCAUCGGAUUCCUAUAGAAGUAUAUACCAUGUCGUAGUAUAGAAUUGAACAAACCGAAGCCUCCCACUAUGAAGCCACUUAAGCAGAUAUUAAAUUUUAACAUAUUCUAUGGAUCUGUGAAAAGAGACAACAAAACAACUUUCAUGGCAAAAACAACCGUCUAAAAAAGAUGUUUUUCUUUUCAAUGCCG